RNAcentral lists this ribosomal RNA (273 nucleotides) under uncultured bacterium. RNAcentral describes it as "partial small subunit ribosomal RNA". It matches the Rfam family "Bacterial small subunit ribosomal RNA", at positions 26 to 282 of the family's 1533-position model. The record is from RNAcentral.
AGAAUCAACGCUGGCGGCGUGCCUCAGACAUGCAAGUCGAACGCGAAAGGUUCCUUCGGGAACCGAGUAGAGUGGCGCACGGGUGAGUAACACGUAGGUAAUUUGCCUUUGGGUGGGGAAUAACUCAGGGAAACUUGAGCUAAUACCGCAUAAUGCAGCGGCUCGACAUCGAGACAGUUGUUAAAGCGGGGGAUCGCAAGACCUCGCGCCUGAAGAGAAGCCUGCGGCAGAUUAGCUAGUUGGUAGGGUAAUGGCCUACCAAGGCAACGAUCU